CUCCAUUAAGAAGAAGACAUGUGGAGACUCAUGUCUUCCUUGCCUACAUUUCUAUUUGCACCCCUCUUUUACUAUUUUACACAUUACUUUGUUUUCUAUUUACAUCUUUCUCUACUUUGGCCCAAAAUACAAGGCCCAAAACUUCCUAACUACUCUAUACAAUUUUUACAAGGCUAAGAAGAAGAAAAAGACUUUACAAACUCUUCAUUAAAGCUCGAUCUUCGUCUAUCUUCUUGGCCGAAAGUUUUGAGGCUAGACGGUUUCCAUCAUCCCCUCCCUCUUGAAAAGGAUCUGUCCUCAGAUCUGAAUGAUGCUCAAUGACAGCAACCUCUGUUUAUUUGAUGGUUUCCUCCUGGGUCAAAUGUCAAUCUGCAAUAAACAUCAAACAAACAUGAGAUAAAUUUCCUUUUUAGAAGAAAAUUAAAAGAAAAGAAANNNNNNNNNNNNNNNNNNNNNNNNNNNNNNNNNNNNNNNNNNNNNNNNNNNNNNNNNNNNNNNNNNNNNNNNNNNNNNNNNNNNNNNNNNNNNNNNNNNNAUUUCAAAAAUAUUUUUGUUCACUUUGUGUUGUUUAUUGCCCAAGCUAGGCAACAACAUCACAAAGUGUUGUUUUUGAUAUUUUUGUGAAGAAUGAGCAUUAUAUAAUUGAAAAGAAGAGUUCAAAGUAUUGCAAUCCCCCUUUAAGGAUUCUUUCUCAACCAUGCUUUCAGGGGGUGUCAUAAAAGACUCUUCUUCUUUGUGGGUUUCCUCUUCUUCUUCCUUUCAAUCAAAACAUUCUUCUGUAUUUUCUGUGGAGGAAAUAUUUAUAUCUAUAUUUGGCUCAGCUCCAAACAUAGAUUUUUCUUCAAGCACAUCCUCACAAGGGUUUUCUAGAGAAGAUAAAAUGUUAUCGAUAUCUGAUUCAACUCGAAAAAAAGAGUUUUUUGUACUUUCCUUUUUCUCAUUCUCUUCUUUCUUUCUGACAAGAGCUUGGAAUUUUUCUCUAAACUCCUUUUCUCUUCUAACAUAUUCUUUUUCUCUGUAUAUAAAAUUUCUUCCUUUUUCUACAAGCUCUUUCAUUUCUUCUCUAAGCUUUUUCUUUUUCACAUAUGAAGGUGGAACAAACUUUCUUCUCAUACACAUCUUCAAUUCAUCCCAAUUCAAUAUUUCUGAUUUUCUACCAAUUCUAACAUCUGCUUCCCUUUGUAUCCACCAAGACCUAGCAUAUUCUUGAAAACUUAGAGUAGCCAUGGAAAAUUUUCUAUAUUCAUCCAAUUGAUGUUUUUCAAAGAUUUGAUCAACUUUUGUUUCCCAUUCUAAAUAUGCUUCAACAUUUUUAUUUCCAUCAAAGUAAGGAAUGUAUACUUCAGGCUCGAUAGAAUAAUAUAAACUUCUAGGCUCAAAACGCAUCCCUUCCUUUUUUUGAUAAUGAGGGUUAUAAAUCUUUCUUCUACUAUGAUGAUAAGUAUACAUAGACAUAUUUAAGCUUUGUAUUUAAAAGAUUUUUCACAAGAAGGAAAGUGAGUUUAGCACACAAGGUAAAUUCCCAGGAAAGAGAGGUGGGUCACAAUGGACACUCUUAAGUACCAAGUCUUUCCUAGCCAUAACUUAUCCCAAUGCACUUCACAAAUCUCCUUCCAAUGAAAACUUCUUCAACACAAACAAAGAGUUUUCUAAAGAAAGAAACUAAAAGAAAGCUUUUAAAAUCUAAGAAUUUAAAUUGCAAAAAUUUAAACUAGACGACUCCUAAUGGUGAGGCUUGUAGGCACUUGGGAACCUUCAAGACACACUCACCGUCUAAAGCGUGUAUCUAAUAAGAAAAUUAAAGAAAACUUGUAGGAGAUGGAAGAACACCAAAGGCUCUUCCAAGACACCUAAAGUAAAGAUAAUGGCCAAAUUACAAAACUAUUGAAAUCACACAAAAUUUUUUAAAAAAUAAUCUUCAAAGUUCUCUUCUCUUUUCUCACAAGUGUUUCUCUCCAAGCCUUUACUUGUUUGUCCUCCAAAGGUGAGUACCCCUUGCAAGUCCUUUGCCUUCUCUUAGGAUGCUACUUAGAAGUUAGCUCAAUUCUCACAAAGAACAAAUUCAAGGUAUAUUCCACUUCAAGAGGUCAAUAAUAAAAGCAAUAAAAGCUCAAUUUGAAGAGUGAAACUCAAAGGAGAUUAGAGAUGACAAACACAAAGAUUAUCCAUAAAAUCAAGACAAGCAAGAAAUUAAAGGUUUUCAAGAAAGUAAGCACUCAAAAGAAGCACCUAAAGAUUGGCACUAGAAUUGGAUUACAAAAAGAAAAACAAAGAAUGAUGAAAAUUCUUAGUAGACCAUGAAAUCCAAAAUGUUGCUGCCCAAUGUAGCUUGGUCCAAAGAACUCAAUUCUCACGGGUCCCGCGCUAAGGAACUCCAAUUGCCAAAUUUCUCACCAAAAUUUACGCUCCCUCAUUAUUCAACAAAUUCCAAUUUGCUUUCACUGAUUCUACUUUAAUUUCUUCAAUUAAUUGCACACCUUGGUAGUACUUGAUUCACCUGCACAUUCGCCACACCAUUUCUCAUCAAAUUCUUCAAAUUUACGGACCCCACAAUUCACUGCAUCAGCUUCAAUCAAUUUGUAAUUCACAAAUUGAAUUCAAAUGUAGACAUACUUUUUUUUUUAUUUAAUUAAAAUCUGCACCAAAAUGAUCAACAAUUUCAAGCAAUCAAAUCUGAAUCAGAACAGCUAGUAUGAAGACCUACGCUUCUCAAUUACAAUUUCAAAAUUCACCAACAGCUUCACUUUGCCAAUUUCACAAGCUAAACCGGAAAAUUCUGCAUCAAGACUUGCACCAGUNNNNNNNNNNNNNNNNNNNNNNNNNNNNNNNNNNNNNNNNNNNNNNNNNNNNNNNNNNNNNNNNNNNNNNNNNNNNNNNNNNNNNNNNNNNNNNNNNNNNAUUCUUGCUUCAACAAAAUUGAACCAAUUUAGUUUACGCACUUUGCUUUCUCUAUCUCACUUUUCUUGCAUUCAAUGAGGCAAUUUUAAUUAAAUCUCUAGAUCAAUACACCAACCAAUUAUGCACCGGAAUUUUACUCAAUUAAGCAUUGCAUCGUAAACACCAAUUAUGAACCAAAUGAUGCAAACAAUUCAAGUCAUCAUACUACAUCACAACAUCGUGAUCAAUUCAUCAAACAGUUUCAAUGCACAAAAUUAUACCACCAAAUUUUACUAAUCAAAAGAGAAACUGCACACCAAUUUCGAAACCAAUCACCGCUGCAUCACUACCAGAAACAUCAAGGGAAACACCAGAAUUUAUUAAAACAAAUUGAAUGAAUCUAAUUUUUUUUUUAAUUCAAUUAGGCAAAUAAACCUCCACUACACACAUGCAUACUCCAGCUGCUGCCAAAAUUUAAACCACAGAGGAAUUUAAGCAAACAACUUAUCUGCAGUUCUUGUUUACGUAGUUGCAAAACCAAAAUUCUCACUAAACAAUAUGAACUCUAGCUUCAAUUGAUUUUGGUUCUGCACUCCAAACUGCUCUGUUCAACGCAGAUGCCAAAUUUCACUCUAAUUCUAGAAAUCAUUUGAAUGAAACACGCACCGAUUCAAAAUGAACAAAUUGCAACCCACCGUUCACCUAUUCUCCGAUUAAUCUUCUCCAAAAUCGCUCCACAAUACGAAGAACAAUGAACGCAAAAGGUAGAACCAAAAAUCUUCGGAAUCGGAAGUGAAAGCGGAAGAAGAACUUACAUGAAUCAAUUCAUUCUUCACUGCUUUAAUUCUUCGAUUUUCAAUUCACCAGACCAACUCGAUCGUGAUUCAAACAGAUUUCUCCGGUCGUCUUCUCCGUUCACCGAUUUCACUGGAAAACGCCACUGUCGUUUGCGAUUCCUCCGUUCACAAUUCCUCCGCGCGCGAUUCCGAUUUAGGUCAUCGGAAAUCACAAACCUCCGUUUUGCACCGUUACUAUUCUUUGAUCAAUCUUCGCACACCGAUUCAAAAUGAAGCCGAAGAAGAAAAAUGAUGCAGAAGAUGAAGAACAACAAUGCAAAUCGCAGAGAAAAUUUUCAAGAAUAAAGUCCGAGAAACCUAAACCAGAUCUGCUAUUCGUAC
RNAcentral lists this long non-coding RNA (4055 nucleotides) under Phaseolus vulgaris (common bean). RNAcentral describes it as "long non-coding RNA (PVUL_LNC001015)". The record is from RNAcentral. Lineage: Eukaryota; Viridiplantae; Streptophyta; Magnoliopsida; Fabales; Fabaceae.